AACGAACGCUGGCGGCAGGCCUAACACAUGCAAGUCGAGUGCGCCUUCGGGUGAGCGGCGGACGGGUGAGUAACGCGUGGGAAUAUGCCCUUCUCUACGGAAUAGUCUUGGGAAACUGGGGGUAAUACCGUAUACGCCCUUUGGGGGAAAGAUUUAUCGGGGAAGGAUUAGCCCGCGUUGGAUUAGGUAGUUGGUGGGGUAAUGGCCUACCAAGCCGACGAUCCAUAGCUGGUUUGAGAGGAUGAUCAGCCACACUGGGACUGAGACACGGCCCAGACUCCUACGGGAGGCAGCAGUGGGGAAUCUUAGACAAUGGGGGCAACCCUGAUCUAGCCAUGCCGCGUGAGUGAUGAAGGCCUUAGGGUUGUAAAGCUCUUUCAGCUGGGAAGAUAAUGACGGUACCAGCAGAAGAAGCCCCGGCUAACUCCGUG
This 431-nucleotide ribosomal RNA is filed under the name uncultured bacterium. RNAcentral describes it as "partial 16S ribosomal RNA". It matches the Rfam family "Bacterial small subunit ribosomal RNA", at positions 29 to 507 of the family's 1533-position model. The record is from RNAcentral.